Molecule: ribosomal RNA, 100 nt
Filed under: Paramormyrops kingsleyae
Lineage: Eukaryota; Metazoa; Chordata; Actinopteri; Osteoglossiformes; Mormyridae
Source: RNAcentral
UCCAGCUCAGACCAGGUAACCCACUUGAAGCUACGCAGGUUUUUGGCCAGGCCAGUACUAAGAUGGGAGACCACCUACGAAAGCUGAGUUGCUGCUGGAA